GGCCCACCAAGGCUAACGGCUAGCUGGUCUGAGAGGAUGGUCAGCCACACUGGGACUGAGACACUGCCCAGACUCCUACGGGAGGCUGCAGUCGAGGAUCAUUGUCAAUGCGCGAAAGCGUGAACAUGCGACGCUGCGUGGAGGAUGAAGGCCUUCGGGUCGUAAACUCCUGUCAUUCGGGAAAAAUUGCGGUUGGGUGAAUAGCCUGGCCGUUUGAUGGUACCGAAAGAGGAAGCCACGGCUAACUCUGUGCCAGCAGCCGCGGUAAUACAGAGGUGGCGAGCGUUGUUCGGAUUUACUGGGCGUAAAGGGUGCGUAGGUGGCAUCGUGUGUCGGAUGUGAAAGCCCACGGCUCAACCGUGGAACUGCAUUCGAAACUGCGGAGCUAGAGUACAGGAGGGGAGAGCGGAACUCUUGGUGUAGCGGUGAAAUGCGUUGAUAUCAAGAAGAACACCGGUGGCGAAGGCGGCUCUCUGGAAUGUUACUGACACUGAGGCACGAAAGCUGGGGGAGCAAACAGGAUUAGAUACCCUGGUAGUCCCAGCCGUAAACGGUGUGCACUUGGUGUGGGCGGUAUUGACCCCGCCCGUGCCGGAGCUAACGCGUUAAGUGCACCGCCUGGGGAGUACGGCCGCAAGGUUAAAACUCAAAGAAAUUGACGGGGGCCCGCACAAGCGGAGGAGCAUGUGGCUUAAUUCGAUGCGACGCGAAGAACCUUACCAGGGCUUGACAUGCAGCUGCAAGCCCCACGAAAGGGGGGAAUCCUUCGAGGGUGCUGCACAGGUGCUGCAUGGCUGACGUCAGUUCGUGCCGUGAGGUGUUGGGUUAAGUCCCGCAACGAACGCAACCCCUGUGUUUAGUUGCCACCGCAGGUGAUGAGCCUGCCAGCACUCUAGACAGACUGCCCGUACAAGCGGGAGGAAGGGGGACGACGUCAAGUCAGUAUGGCCCUUACGCCCUGGGCUGCACACGUGCUACAAUGGUCGGUACAGAGGGAGGCAAUACCGCGAGGUGGAGCAAAUCCCCAACACCGGCCUCAGUUCGGAUUGGAGUCUGCAACUCGACUCCAUGAAGUUGGAUUCGCUAGUAACGGCGUAUCAGCUACGACGCCGUGAAUACGUUCCCGGGCCUUGUACACACCGCCCGUCACAUCAUGAAAGCCGUCUGCACCCGAAGUCGCUGAGCUAACCCGAAAGGGAGGCAGGUGCCGAAGGUGUGGGUGGUGAU
RNAcentral lists this ribosomal RNA (1227 nucleotides) under metagenome. RNAcentral's name for it is "bacterial SSU rRNA". It matches the Rfam family "Bacterial small subunit ribosomal RNA", at positions 262 to 1475 of the family's 1533-position model. The record is from RNAcentral.